NNNNNNNNNNNNNNNNNNNNNNNNNNNNNNNNNNNNNNNNNNNNNNNNGCAGAGGUUCUGGAGGAGCCGGAGGCGAAGCCUAGCGGAGGCAUACUAGGUAUGAUCGAGCAGCUGAGUGCCAGUGGCAGAGUGGAGGCCGCACUGCUGCAGGAAGUUGAGCAGUGCUGGAGCGACGGGGAUGCUGAGAGUUUGCUGCAGAGCGUGAGAGUCCUUGCUCAGGUGCUACGAGACCUGCAUCCCCUCCAGGAAGGCCUCCAGCUGUCCUCUUCAGUUGAGGGUUUGUUUUCUUGCAGGCCCAGCAGGCUACACCGGGUCACUUCCUUCCAGGGUGUCUCUGCGCGGGUCAUCCGUAAAGCUCUGAGCAGCAUGGUUCCAUCCUCUGCGGACCAGGACGCAACUCUUCUUGCUAGACAGUACUUGGAGGUGUGCGUUCGUAUCGCACGUCUCCUCGAUGUAGUGCAGCCCAAACGAACCACCGUUGACUUUUCAAAUGCGCCCAUUGCUACGGUCAUUCAGCAUGUGCGGUUUGUCUUGUCAAAUCCUUCUUUUAACUCUGAUGUUUUUGACGCGGGAGUUCACCAUCGCUUGCUUUCAGUGUUGGAGUUCAAUCCUGCGCAGCUGGGCUUGGGCUCUCUCAUGCAGCUCCACCAGGAGACCCUCUCCGAAUUACAGGGCUACUUACAACUCGGCGAGCACCACAACUUCCAAUUUAUUCUCGAAUCGGUACGAAUUCUCGGUCCCGCAAAGCUGUUUUCCGUCAGCAGGGUUCACGGGCCUGUCGCCAUCGACAAUGGGGUGGAGGAGGUCCUUUGUUUUAUCAUGUCAGAACCCACUUCAUUCCUGGUACGACUGUACUGCCUUUGCUACGAAGAAGGAAGGGGGCUCUUCAAGGUGUGCGCACCACGCUGCGCAUGUAUGUAUCUGCUCAAAGCAGAAGGGCUGCGUGACAUGCAGUGGUGCGGUUGCAACGUUCUGGCUGAGGUAGGAGGGAAAGUGUGGGUCAGAGAGGGAGAAAGUAACGGCUGGGAUGAGCUACAGGCGCUGGCUCAGAGACACUCUGCUCAGCUUAAGGAUGAAGGAUGCUGCUUUAAGGUCGAGACCUCUGGGUUGGAGUGUGAGGUCAAAUUUAUAUACAGGAGUGGAAGGCUAUGGGCUGUGCCACAUA
Molecule: long non-coding RNA, 1165 nt
Filed under: Sinocyclocheilus grahami
Lineage: Eukaryota; Metazoa; Chordata; Actinopteri; Cypriniformes; Cyprinidae
Description: lncRNA (ENSSGRG00000001957.1)
Source: RNAcentral